AUUCUGGCAGAACCACUUCUGGACCUGUCCCUCUGCACCCCCCAUUCCUGCGCCCUCAUUUAACCUCCCUGACUCUGACCUGGGCUUGGUCUAUCUUGGGGCCUGGCUGCCGUCCUGGGACGGGAAGGGGAGCAGAUCAGAACUCAGCCUGCGGCUCCAGGCCGCUGGGCGCUGGCUGGGCCUCACGUUCUCCUGGAAGGACCACCUCCCUUGCCCUCCACGGGGUCUGCCUUUGCUCCCAAGGCUCCGCCCUGGACGGAGCGUCCUUCUUGCCUGGGCGUCUUCAGACCUUCAUCUGUGACACCGGGGGCCAUGUGGCUCACCCCGAGGAAGAGACGAGGACUCGCUGUGUUGGCUGUUCUUGAGCUUCUGGGCUCAAGCAAUCCUCCCUCCUGAGCUUCCCAGAGUGCUAGGAUUACAGGUGUGAGCCACUGAGCCCAGCCCAUUUUCUUUUUUUUUUUUUUCCUGGCUUCCUUUCCUCCCUGUCUCCCUGGCCUACCCUUCCUCUUCCCUCAGCUGUUCCUUCCCUUUCUCUCCAGUGAAGACUAAGGGCCAAGCAUGAGCCUUUCUUCCUGCUCUUUUACCCUUGAGGCAGCAGGAGAGGAUAUUCACCUCCUGACAUGACAGAUUCUGACGCUAUCUGCUCCUCUGUGACUUUGGGAAGCGGGGUAUGUGCUGCUCCUGGGCUGAUGGGGGAAAGUGCCUCUCCCAGCAAUGCUGGUGCCACUUGGUGUGCUACGGCCCCCCAGGGCAGUGCGGAGCCAUCUGGGACAGUUAGACAAUGAGAGACGUGAAGCCAUUUCAAGGUGCUUCCUUGAAAAUGCUCCAGAAAAACAGCAGAGGCGGCCUCUCUGGGGAUCCGGUCCAGCCCUUGAAAAGAAUCUGUUUGUUUCACCACUGAACUCAAAUAAGCCAACAGAUUGAAGGAAGGGAGUUUCCACGCGCCCCUCCCCACCAAGCAGUUACCUGAGUUCCAGAGUCCAGUCCGAUGGAUCCCAUUUUACCCUGGUUUAAAUUGUUUCCUUAGAAAAAAAUAAACAGAACCUCUUCUCUCACUCUCCAGUGGAAAGUAUAGAAUCAAACGUAAAUGAAAAUGACAGUUUCUAACAUGCGCGACCUGGACACGCGGCUGAACUCCGAGCCUCAGCUGCAGAGUGGGGUCAAUGCACCUACCUUGCAGCGUC
RNAcentral lists this long non-coding RNA (1184 nucleotides) under Homo sapiens (human). RNAcentral describes it as "HSALNT0183978". The record is from RNAcentral. Lineage: Eukaryota; Metazoa; Chordata; Mammalia; Primates; Hominidae.